AUUGAACGCUGGCGGCAGGCCUAACACAUGCAAGUCGAGCGGAGCGGCGGACGGGUGAGUAAUGCCUAGGAAUGUGCCUGGUAGUGGGGGAUAACGUCCGGAAACGGGCGCUAAUACCGCAUACUAUCAGAUGAGCCUAGGUCGGAUUAGCUAGUUGGUGGGGUAAAGGCCUACCAAGGCGACGACCCGUAACUGGUCUGAGCGGAUGAUCAGUCACCCUGGAACUGAGACACGGCCCAGACUCCUACGGGAGGCAGCAGUGGGGAAUAUUGCACAAGUGGAUGAAGCCUGAUCCAGCCAAGCCGAGUGUGUUAAGAAGGGCUUCGGAUUGGAAAGUACUUUAAGUUGGGAGGCGUUACCAACAGAAUAAGCACCGGCUAACUCCGUGCCAGCAGCCGCGGUAAUUC
Molecule: ribosomal RNA, 407 nt
Filed under: uncultured bacterium
Lineage: Bacteria
Description: partial 16S ribosomal RNA
Rfam family: Bacterial small subunit ribosomal RNA
Source: RNAcentral